GGUUAAGCGACUAAGCGUACACGGUGGAUGCCCUGGCAGUCAGAGGCGAUGAAGGACGUGCUAAUCUGCGAAAAGCGCCGGCGAGGUGAUAUGAACCUUUGACCCGUCGAUGUCCGAAUGGGGAAACCCAGUGUGUUCCGACACACUAUCGUUAACUGAAUACAUAGGUUAACGAGGCGAACCGGGGGAACUGAAACAUCUAAGUACCCCGAGGAAAAGAAAUCAACCGAGAUUCCCCCAGUAGCGGCGAGCGAACGGGGAGCAGCCCGGAGUCUGAAUCAGCUUGUGUGUUAGUGGAACGGUCUGGAAAGUCCGACGGUACAGGGUGAUAGUCCCGUACACGAAAAUGCACAGGUUGUGAACUCGAAGAGUAGGGCGGGACACGUGGUAUCCUGUCUGAAUAUGGGGGGACCAUCCUCCAAGGCUAAAUACUCCUGACUGACCGAUAGUGAACCAGUACCGUGAGGGAAAGGCGAAAAGAACCCCGGCGAGGGGAGUGAAAAAGAACCUGAAACCGUGUACGUACAAGCAGUGG
This 535-nucleotide ribosomal RNA is filed under the name Enterobacter hormaechei. RNAcentral's name for it is "partial 23S ribosomal RNA". It matches the Rfam family "Bacterial large subunit ribosomal RNA", at positions 1 to 576 of the family's 2925-position model. Lineage: Bacteria; Pseudomonadati; Pseudomonadota; Gammaproteobacteria; Enterobacterales; Enterobacteriaceae. The record is from RNAcentral.